CCAGACUCCUACGGGAGGCAGCAGUCGGGAAUAUUGCGCAAUGGAGGAAACUCUGACGCAGUGACGCCGCGUGCAGGAAGAAGGUUUUCGGAUUGUAAACUGCUUUAGACAGGGAAGAAACAAGACAGUACCUGUAGAAUAAGCUCCGGCUAACUACGUGCCAGCAGCCGCGGUAAUACGUAGGGAGCAAGCGUUAUCCGGAUUUAUUGGGUGUAAAGGGUGCGUAGACGGAGAAGCAAGUUAGUUGUGAAAUCCCUCGGCUUAACUGAGGAACUGCAACUAAAACUACUUCCCUUGAGUGCUGGAGAGGAAAGUGGAAUUCCUAGUGUAGCGGUGAAAUGCGUAGAUAUUAGGAGGAACACCAGUGGCGAAGGCGACUUUCUGGACAGUAACUGACGUUGAGGCACGAAAGUGUGGGGAGCAAACAGGAUUAGAUACCCCCGUAGA
RNAcentral lists this ribosomal RNA (447 nucleotides) under uncultured bacterium. RNAcentral describes it as "bacterial SSU rRNA". It matches the Rfam family "Bacterial small subunit ribosomal RNA", at positions 331 to 794 of the family's 1533-position model. The record is from RNAcentral.